UCGGAAAUCGGAUUGGCAAUCGGACGCGCGGGUACAGUUUUCGAGGAAUAGAUGUCGAAAUACAUCGUAUCCAUAAUCUGGUUGAUCAUCGAAUCUAAUAAGGGACACACGGUAUAAUACACGUAAUGCAACUGUAAGAAAGUAAGUAUGCGUAGUCACUUGUGUGGUGUUCGUGUAUACCGCGGUAUUGUAUAUCAAAGGAUGUGUCG
Cinara cedri is the source of this 209-nucleotide non-coding RNA. NCBI's taxonomy places the organism in Eukaryota, Metazoa, Arthropoda, Insecta, Hemiptera, Aphididae. The record is from the annotation of a GenBank genome assembly.